AAACACUAAAACUCCUCCUUCUAGAAGCAUAUGGAACUUAUUAAAAUGGUGAUAUAUUGUAUAUUGUUUGGCGAGAUCAACAACUAGAUGCUGUCUUAUCAGGCCUUAGGCACAUUUAAAUUUAAGGUCUGAUUAAAAACAAAAAACUAAGCGCAAGAGCCAACCUCAAGUUUUCUGGGAGCUUGCUCAAGUUAUGCGGGUCAUAAAAUCUAAAUGCUGCUUCCCCAAUGUUUAGUUUUGACUUUGGGAAUAGAACGAAAACCAGAUGUCUCAGAUAAUCUUAGACUUUAGACAUCAGUGGAUCACAAAUGUGUUUUUGGUCUCUAACCAUUUAGUGCUUUGUAUACCAAUAGUAGUAUUUUAACAUCAAUGCUUUGCCACACAGGAAGCCAGUGUAAAUAUCUGGGAUAUCUUCUUUUUAAAGAAUCUAACUAAAGACAUAAUUACAGUGCACAACCCUACUGAAGACAGAUCCUUGCAAAAGUUUAUCCAAAAUCAUGCCAAGACACAAGCUUUUCAGUUCUUUAUAAUCAAUUAAUUUUGUAAAUGCCAAAUGUAGCUGCUGAAAUGUUCCUUUAGGUCCAUAAAUACACCAACACGCCAAGAUGUCAGCAUCUGAUGCACUGAGCAAUAACUUUUAAUCUUUGUGUUUAAAACAUUACUCUGCAUUUUGUUUUCAUUUAAUUUAAAAGAAUUAUGGUACAUCUUAAUUAUGUAUGAUGUAUUAAUCUGGGUUACACAAGAAAAAGCAGAUGUUUAACAAAAGUGGCCCCAGAAUGGAGCCUUGAGGAACUCCUCAUCAUAUAUUCUUGUACAAUGUCUAACUGUGCACUGUACAGGUCACACAAAGUAGUCCCUGUCCUUUAAUCAGUUAAUACAUCCCCACUCACUUUCACUGGUACGGUCCUUGUGUCCCUGUGCCUACCCGGUCGGCUCAGCAUGGCUACAUAUGUUUUUAUUUUCAUUUUUGUUCCUGCUCUCUCCCUUCCUCUCUUUCCCUCCUCCCUCGGCCUGGGCGGAGCUCACCUGUGGGCUCCUGCCCCUGACCAACGCACCUGUGGCUCAUCACGAGAGUGUUCCAGCUCCUUUAUAAGAUGGCAGCUCUGUGUCUCUCGUCGCUGGACCGUUGCCGACCCUCAUUCCCUGGACCCACCCCUGUGUUUUCUGAAGUGAUCGAGUGUGCGUAAGCCAUCGUGCUUUCUGUGGAGUGUGAAGAGGAGCGUGUGGAGUGGAUGGAGUGUGUGUGUGGACUUUCAGCGUCUUUCCCUUUCGUGUGUGGACCCCUGGAGUCUGGCCUUCCCCUCACCUUUGUAAAUAGAUCACCUGGUGUACUGUACUGUGAUGGCUGCAUUUACAGCCACACAGUGGUAAUAUUCACCAUGUUAGUGUAGAGGCUUAUAAGUAACAUUGCAUUCACAUUUGUCUUUCUUUAAAUAUAGGAAUUAAUUUACAGGACAAUAAAUAACUGGUUUUGGUUUAGAAUUAAUUCACAUAUCUACAUAACACUGCAUUCUAAAAUAAGUGCGCACAUUUUAGUUUACACUGUUAUGUAUGAUUAAUCUUUUGUUUUCUGAGUUACCUUAGUUGCAGCUGCUCCAGUCCCUUGAUUGAGGAGCCAAGAGGUGGAAAAGGGGCGGAGCGAGCUUUGAUGGAA
This is a long non-coding RNA of Oreochromis niloticus (Nile tilapia), 1654 nucleotides long. RefSeq lists it as uncharacterized. The record is from RefSeq and is a predicted model, not a curated record. Lineage: Eukaryota; Metazoa; Chordata; Actinopteri; Cichliformes; Cichlidae. The transcript has 2 exons.